GCCCGAUGUGGUGGCGCGUGGCUGUAGUCCCAGCUACUUGGGAGGCUGAGGUGGGUGGAUCGCCUGACCCCAGGAGUUCUGGGCUGUAGUGCGCUAUGCUGAUCAGGUGUCCACACGAAGUUCGGCAUCAAUAUGGUGACCUCCUGGGAGCAGGGGACCACCAGGUUGCCUAAGGAGGAGUGAACUGGCCCAGGUAGGAAACGGAGCAGGUCAAAACUCCUGUGCUGAUCAGUAGUGGGAUCGCACCUGUGAAUAGCCACUGCACUCCAGCCUGGGCAACAUAGUGAUACCCCAUCUCUA
Callithrix jacchus (white-tufted-ear marmoset) is the source of this 300-nucleotide unclassified non-coding RNA. It matches the Rfam family "Metazoan signal recognition particle RNA". From Rfam's summary of the family: The signal recognition particle (SRP) is a universally conserved ribonucleoprotein. It is involved in the co-translational targeting of proteins to membranes. The record is from Ensembl. Lineage: Eukaryota; Metazoa; Chordata; Mammalia; Primates; Cebidae.